AAUGGCUGAGUAAGCAUUAGACUGUAAAUCUAACUACAGAGGAUAAAUCCUCUUU
RNAcentral lists this transfer RNA (55 nucleotides) under Dipodomys ordii (Ord's kangaroo rat). It matches the Rfam family "tRNA", at positions 6 to 65 of the family's 71-position model. Rfam says of the family: Transfer RNA (tRNA) molecules are approximately 80 nucleotides in length. Their secondary structure includes four short double-helical elements and three loops (D, anti-codon, and T loops). The record is from Rfam by way of RNAcentral. Lineage: Eukaryota; Metazoa; Chordata; Mammalia; Rodentia; Heteromyidae.